This 253-nucleotide ribosomal RNA is filed under the name uncultured bacterium. Its description in RNAcentral is "partial 16S ribosomal RNA". It matches the Rfam family "Bacterial small subunit ribosomal RNA", at positions 524 to 776 of the family's 1533-position model. The record is from RNAcentral.
UACGUAGGGGCCGAGCGUUGUCCGGAUUCAUUGGGCGUAAAGGGUGCGUAGGUGGCAUGGUAAGUCGGGUGUGAAAUCCCGGGGCUCAACCCCGGAACUGCACUCGAUACUACCGUGCUCGAGUACUGGAGAGGAGACUGGAAUUUACGGUGUAGCAGUGAAAUGCGUAGAUAUCGUAAGGAAGACCGGUGGCGAAGGCUAGUCUCUGGACAGUUACUGACACUGAGGCACGAAGGCCAGGGGAGCAAACGGG